Molecule: long non-coding RNA, 925 nt
Filed under: Mus musculus (house mouse)
Lineage: Eukaryota; Metazoa; Chordata; Mammalia; Rodentia; Muridae
Description: predicted gene 11264
Source: RNAcentral
AUUCUGACCUUCCACUGUGCAGAGAACAGACCUGCCAGAGAGCCUUGCUAUUUUUACUUCACUGCGAGGGGAUCUCAGGUUACAAAUUAUAUACGGAUGAGGUCUCCCCUUCGGAAGCUCCCUAUUUCAUCUCCCUUCCGUCUGCCUCUAUGGGGGUACUCCCCAACCCACCCACUCCCAUUCUCCAGCCCUGGCAUUUCUUGCUUGUCUACUGACUACAUCUGGAUUGAGCUUCAAUGCAGAAAUGGAGGGCACAUCUGAAAGUGAUUGCUCGCUUGGUUUUAAGUGGGUAAAUUCACUUCUAGUCCAGAUCUUUGAGAAGCCUUCCCAUAACUCCUUUCCUUUAUGAUCUGUGAGCAAAGAGAUGCUUUGGAGUAGAUGAAGAUGGUGAUAAGAUACUAGAUACCAAAUACGUACAACUUACAGAAUCCUGGCAGCAUCCAACAUGUUUCAGCAAACCAGAUCCUGCAUAAAGGCCAGGCAGGAGAUUAGUGUGAAGCCUAAUCUUCAACCUCUAAGGCUUCAGGCUAUGUCAGCAUUCACUCCAGGAAGACAUGUCCCUGCCUAUCAAAGAGCACUGGCAUUUGUUUAAUCCUUGUACUUUCUCAGUGCAUUGCCAGCUUCUGACCAGCAGAAAAAGCUGAGGAUUGGUGGCACUGAAUGAACACAUGUAAUGCCCCCGUCCUUGCUUUGAGAGCUUAUGCUCUCACUGUCUUGAAUAACGAGUACCUCGAGUAACCACAGAGUCUCAUCUAGACCCCUUUACCCCAUGCCUGAUGCAGUCCCCUUUUUUUCUGUCCAGUCCAAAGGAGCUCAGUGGGGCCCUGAACCCUAACUCUUAUGGAAUACAUUUGAUAUUUGAGAAUCAAUGAAUAAGGGCUACAGUAAGAUUCAAUCCUGGCCAAUAAAUUACCAACUGAAGAUA